UACGUAGGGGGCUAGCGUUGUUCGGAAUCACUGGGCGUAAAGCGCGCGCAGGUGGUUCCUUAAGUCUGAUGUGAAAGCCCACGGCUCAACCGUGGAGGGUCAUUGGAAACUGGGGAACUUGAGUGCAGAAGAGGAAAGUGGAAUUCCAAGUGUAGCGGUGAAAUGCGUAGAGAUUUGGAGGAACACCAGUGGCGAAGGCGACUUUCUGGUCUGUAACUGACACUGAGGCGCGAAAGCGUGGGGAGCAAACAGG
This 253-nucleotide ribosomal RNA is filed under the name uncultured bacterium. RNAcentral's name for it is "partial 16S ribosomal RNA". It matches the Rfam family "Bacterial small subunit ribosomal RNA", at positions 524 to 776 of the family's 1533-position model. The record is from RNAcentral.